This 147-nucleotide unclassified non-coding RNA is filed under the name uncultured Helotiales. Its description in RNAcentral is "sequence contains ITS2". The record is from RNAcentral. Lineage: Eukaryota; Fungi; Ascomycota; Leotiomycetes; Helotiales.
CAACCCUCAAGCUCAGCUUGGUAUUGGAUGUCACCUGGCAAUGGUGCAUCUUAAAAUCAGUGGCGGUGCCAUCUGGCUUCAAGUGUAGUAAUUCUCUCGCUUUGGAAGUUUAGGUGUAUUCUUGCCAUCAACUUCUAAUUUUUCAAA